Molecule: ribosomal RNA, 724 nt
Filed under: uncultured Fusobacterium sp.
Lineage: Bacteria; Fusobacteriati; Fusobacteriota; Fusobacteriia; Fusobacteriales; Fusobacteriaceae
Description: bacterial SSU rRNA
Rfam family: Bacterial small subunit ribosomal RNA
Source: RNAcentral
GAUGAACGCUGACAGAAUGCUUAACACAUGCAAGUCGGCUCGAGUCUUCGGACUUGGGUGGCGCACGGGUGAGUAACGCGUAAAGAACUUGCCUCUUAGACCGGGACAACAUCUGGAAACGGAUGCUAAUACCGGAUAUUAUGGUUUUUUCGCAUGGAGGAAUCAUGAAAGCUGGAUGCGCUAAGAGAGAGCUUUGCGUCCCAUUAGCUGGUUGGUGAGGUAACGGCCCACCAAGGCAAUGAUGGGUAGCCGGCCUGAGAGGGUGAACGGCCACAAGGGGACUGAGACACGGCCCUUACUCCUACGGGAGGCAGCAGUGGGGAAUAUUGGACAAUGGACCGCAAGUCUGAUCCAGCAAUUCUGUGUGCACGAUGACGUUUUUCGGAAUGUAAAGUGCUUUCAGUCGGGAAGAAGUCAGUGACGGUACCGACAGAAGAAGCGACGGCUAAAUACGUGCCAGCAGCCGCGGUAAUACGUAUGUCGCAAGCGUUAUCCGGAUUUAUUGGGCGUAAAGCGCGUCUAGGCGGCAAGGAAAGUCUGAUGUGAAAAUGCGGAGCUCAACUCCGUAUGGCGUUGGAAACUGCCUUACUAGAGUACUGGAGAGGUAGGCGGAACUACAAGUGUAGAGGUGAAAUUCGUAGAUAUUUGUAGGAAUGCCGAUGGGGAAGCCAGCCUACUGGACAGAUACUGACGCUAAAGCGCGAAAGCGUGGGUAGCAAACAGG